UUAUUAUAUCCUGUAGGAUAGGAUGAGAUUAUGAUGGGUGGAAAUUAUUGUAUUUCUGUAUGUACCAGUACCAGUAGCAGUCAGUUAUUAUUAAUUUAAUUAUGAGUAUUGAUCUAAUUGUAUUGUAAGUCUGAAAUUGGAGAACACAUUUUGUUAAGGAACCCACUUGGGUUGGCCUGGUGGUAUUGGCUUGGGACCUGGGAGUCUGCUACUCCUCGAUGUCUCAGGUUCGAUUCCCUCUGGUGCCAAUUUAGGUGGGCUAGUUUAGCUUCUUCAAAAAAAACUUUUUGUUAAGGAUAAGUCUAUGAAGAUUUGUGAUGCUCUAGUUUAUAAUCCAUGAAUGCUGUCAAAAAUAUUCUUAUUUCUUUGUGCACUCUCGAGUCUAAGACAUAUUUAGAUUAUCAAUCGUCCUUCUUGACAUGUUAUUUCUGGCCUUUAAAAGUAAAGGCUGAUUUCAGUGAUACCCAAGUCUGAUAUUAGGUUUCCAAUUUUUUAUUGGGUUUGAAAUAGAAUUUAGCGAGAGGAAAACUUUACUUGGUUUAGGGAAUAUUAACUGUCUUGGCUGAGCAAAUUAUAAACUAAAGUUUCUCCUUUGGUUCAGCUCAAAAGUAACGCUAGAGCUGUCCAUACCAUUGUUCACAUUUAAUUUAAUCAUUCUGUUGAAUUGUUUUCUUCUUUUUUGCAGCUAUGAAGUGAUUGACACCUUGAAAUUGGACAAGCAUCUGGUGGAUUAUUCAAUACAUUAUCAUGUAUUCAAUACUCUUCUAUUCUGCUUGCUUGUUCUUAAUAUUUAUUGGUGGGUGCUAAUGCUUCGGAUGCUUGUUGGUCAAAUCUGUGCAAAAGGGAAAGUUAGUGAAGAUAUCCGAUCUGGUAAGCUAAAGAUUCAUUACAUAUAUGGCUUUCUAAUGUGACUUCUUGAUCGGAAAAGAUACCAACUACAAGAAAUGGUACCUCAAACUCUAAAUGGAAUUAAGCAAACAAUUUGGAGCAUACCUACCUUGCUACAUGCAUUUGCGCAGAAACGUGUAUAGGAAAUGUAUCUAGUGAGAGGGUAGUUUUUAUGUGAAAGUGGAGAGAUCUUGACUAUAUAACUACUAUAUAUGGACGGUUAAGACCAUGACCACUAAAAAAUUCACAUAAUUGUUUAAAAAAGUUUAACUGGUCGUUUGAUUGUAAACUGCUGCCCUUAACAUUUUCUUUUAUAUGCAGAUUCUGAAGAUGAACAUGAACAUGAGGAAUGAACAUGAAAACAAAAUUGGCUAUUGUCUCACUUUUUGAAAUGGUAUCAAAUUUUUUACAUGCACCUAGGCAUGUCAUAUAUUGUCACAUUUUAUGUUAUAACAAUGUAAAAUUCACCAAAAUUUAGUGUAUAUAAACACUAAGCUGCUUGUACAAAACAUUUAUGCUAAUAGUUCAUAUAAUCAUGUAGAAAUGUUCCCAUACAGAUGAAAAUUUGAGCCUACAUUUCUUUUUAUCGCUCAAUCAACCAAGGUAUCUAAUUUGAGGUCAAUUCAUGUCAUAAUUGCUUACAAGUCUUUCGAGACCUUAGGUUCGUGGGGUAAUUGUUUUUGUCGAGCUAUGUGAAGAUAGUUUAUAGCUCUUCAUGGAGCCUAAAAGUCUGAAAGUGUUACGAGGGUGUGAUGCAUAUUGCACUAAAGCUUGGGGGCCCCACCCAGUUAAACGAAUCCACCCAACGAACAUAUAGCUCAGGGGCUUCGCCUGGUCAAAAGAAGGCACCUGGCGAGCAUAGAGCUUGGGGACUUUGCCCACAUAAAAGAAGGCGUCCAACGAGCAUCAAGCUCGGGGGCUUUGCAUAGUCAAAAGAAGGUGCUCAACGAGCAUCAAGCUCGGGGGCUUUGCAUAGUCAAAAGAAGGUGCUCAACGAGCAUAGAGCUCGGGGAUUUCACCCGGUUAAAAGAAUUCUCCCAAGGAUUAUAAAGCUCAGGGGGCUGAAGAAAGCCUUAUAAGACUUCCAGACAUGUCUAUUGAAGUAAACAUAUAUAAAUUUGUUAAGGUUUUUUUUUUUAUAUAUAUAUAACAAAUGUAAGUACAUUACCUAUUUAAGUAAACAUGUAUAAAUUUUUGGAGAAAACUUAGGUACAAUUCCUUAAGUGCUUUUCGUAUGGUUGUGAACUAAAUUCACCAUGAUUUCCUCAAAUCCAUAAUUUUCUCCUAAAUUUUUUAUUAUUUUUUCUAACAAAUAUUAGUACGUUAACUGUUGUAUACAUAUUUUAUCCCUUACUAAUAUUUGAACCGUACACUUUUAACUUGGUAAUUUUUUUUUAUUCAAAAUUUUUCUCAUAUCAUAUCUCAACUCUUGAAAUAGAUUUUUCGUUGCUUCUAAAUUUUCAUUAGGCAUGACCUAUAAAAUAAAAAUAAUCUGUUUAAUAGGUAAAUAUGUAAUACACAUCAUUAACAAUGUGAUUAGGUAGAAUAAAUUUAAGCAUUAAAAAAUAGAAUAUAUUUCAGUUUGACUAAGCUAUGUAUCCAUAUUUUAAAAUCCGAUUAGUCGUGUAUAUGAUUAUCUUUAAUUAAAAUACAUGCUUCAUUCGUUCUUAAAUAUAAGAUCUUUUUAGUCGAAUCAUGGGAAAUAAAAAAAUUGGUAGUAAUAUUAAAUUUGUUUAUAAUUAUUAUUCUUACGAUUUUAUCAUUUAAGAGAUUGUUUAUGUUUUCAACAUAAUAGUAUUUAUUGUUGAUUGAAGAAAAAUAUGUAAAAUAAAUAUGGGUAUGUUGGUAAAAAAAUAAUUAAUAUAGUUUUGUUUAUGGAAAAUAAUUAAUAUAGUUGAAAAUGCCAAAUGGUCUUAUAAAGAGAUAAAUAAAUUUAAGUUUUUUUUAGUCUCGUUUUGGUGCCUUCUGUUAGGUCUCCGUUAGUUUUAAUAAUAAACGUUAAGUGUGGACACGUGUCACCUCGUCAUUGGCUCUGAGAUUUUUUAUUUUAUUUUUUAAAAAAUUUAUUUAAGGGACCAAAAGAGCAUUUAAGCCUAUUUAUAAAGAUUAAAAAAAAAAACAUAUUUAAACCAAAGAUUUAUCGUUGUGUCGAACCAAAUGUAACUCGCUUUGUGAAACUCAUCAAACUCAUCUUGUCCUUCACUCCACCUUAGGUUUACGGAGCGGCUACAAAGAGAGACACACAUUCUUUGUUUGUUUAUUGUGCUCACACCCACAUAACAGAGCAUAUUUUCUUCAAAAAUGGAAGAUGUGAUAACAGAAGCAGCACCACCAUCAAGAUUACUAGAAGAAGACCUAAACAAUUUCACACCAUCUUCUCCACCACUCCCUUCACCUUUUCUCCUCUUCCCUCACACACAACAACAACAACAACCUCUCAAACCCACACUCCUCAUCAUCGCUAUCUCUUCUCCCUCUCUCUCCCUUUUCCACAAUCUCCUCACCCCACAAACCCUAACCUCCUCUCUCAUCCUCCCUGAACUCCCUCUCUCCUAUCCUAACAACACCAUCAACAUCCACUCUCUCUCUUCCACCAUCCUCCUCGCCGCCGUUCAAAACCCUAUCCCUGAUAAUCGCGCUUACGCCGUCGCUGAAAUCCUCCUCAGCAACCAGAUCUGCCCUGAUUCGGUUAUUAUACUUGAUUCUAUCCAGCCGAUGAAUCACCGUGGUCUGCUUUCUUCCGACGAGGCGGUUGCAUUCAAGCUGGAGAGUUUUGCCGAAAGGAAGAAGGCGAAUGAGGAGAAAUUGUUGGGAGGAUUGGAUUAUUACCCGUCUGGAAGCGUUGUUGAUGGACUCGGUGCCGCCAUUCUUGGACGGUGUCAGAUUUUGAAAAUUAGGGCUAGCUUGUGUGUUACUUGGCCUCAAUUUGAUUCAGAUGUUGUUUUGUUGUUGAAGGAUUUGCUUCGAGGUUUGGGUGAGUUUGAGUUUGGGUUUAGUGAUGAUGAGGUUUUCAAAUUUGGGAGGAGUAAGGAUCAUGUUUUUCAAUCUCACUUGUAUAUUUGAUUAGAUUUAUUACAAUGUGUGUUUAACAUUUAGUUCUCAAUGAUUUGAAUGUUUUGGAAUUAUGAUGGUUAUGAAUAGUUAUCUAGUCUUUGCUUUAUUGUUGUGUUGCUUUUAUAUUUUGUCAAUUUUAUUCUACAAAUUGCCAUGAAAAUUUGCAAUAUCUUGCUUUACUGGGAAGAGCUUCUAUAGCUAUCUGAAUGUCACUUUCAAUAUCUAAUAGCUUUGUUCUUUAAUUUGUUAACUUUAACAAUGACAAUUGGUUGUGGAUAUCAAAUUUGCAUUUAGAUUCACAGUAUUAAACUAUCUAAGGUUAUGACUUAUAGUGGAUCUCCAUUGUUAUUUAAAUCUUUUUACCAAAUGAUUCAUCUGUGUCCUAUAUUUGUAAUGUGAGGUUAAUUGGUUGCAAUGUUGAUUGGUAGCUAAUAAAAGUACAUUUGAUCUUUAUGCUCUUUUGAAUUGAAUGCUUGCUCAGUUUUGUGUUGUCAUCUUGAAACUACUGGUUUUGUUACUGGCAUUGUGAUUGAUGUCAAUAUACUGCAUCAAGUCGUGCUUGUGGGUCACAUGGAUACAAAUGUAACUGUGGCAUGCAACCUACAACCACAAUGUGAUUGUUAAGGCAAUGUAAUACCCUGAUUAUAACAAAUAGUUAUGAUCAAUGUAACCCUAAACCCUUUCGAGGACAUCCAUAGCUUAGUCCAAAUAAAUUUUGGAUCAUCAUAGAUCUUAUUGGAUCAGAUGAUGCUACAUGUUUUUAAAGCUGUAGAUUUGAAUGAUGGCUAGACAUAUUUUUUUUUUCUUGCUGCCUCUAGUGUUGUGUAUCAUUGAUAAAAGAACUCAAUAGUUUACAAAUGUGAUUUCUGUGUCCAGAAUUCUCUAGAAAAUCUUAUUCUUCACUUGUAUCUAGUGAUUUAUGUUUUUUUUUGUUUUGUUAACGUAUCUCUUCUAAAUGUAAUUUAGGAUGCUUUGAAUGCUUUAAUAGAAUAGAUUUUAAUGUUAUCUGUUGAUCUUUAUGCUCUUUUGAAUUGAAUAUUAUGCUACUGUCAUGAGAGGAUCCCUUCCCUACAAUAAUAGUGAUUGUUUGCGGGCCACAUCGGUCCAAAUGUAACUGUCAUGCAAUAGAGCAGAUGUUGUUAAGGCAAUGUGAUAUCCUGACCAUAAUCGGUAUAUAUGAUUGAUGUAAUUCUUUUCAAGACAUGUAUAUAGCAUAGUCCAAUAAGUUUUGAUACAUCAUAGAACAAAAUUCAUUUGGACCAUACUGCACUUUUCUUUUCAUGCUACUCAAAAUGUUUUUUUUUAGUGGUGGCCAAGCUUUGAACCUUGGACCUUGCAUAUAUUAUGUAUUGUUUAUACAAAUUGAAUUAAGCUCACGAGGACAAAUGUUUAUACAAGUUAUAGAUGGUAGAAGUCAAUUAAACGAAGUGUUUAGUAGACAAUAAGAGUUGUGUGAAACAUAUUUUUCAUGUUGUCUCGACAUUGGUGGUGUUUAUCAUUGAGAUACGGAACCCAUCUAGUGUAAGCUCUACAAGCAAUUACUAAUAUGUUUUUCUUGUCCAAAAUUCAGUACAGAAGUUUAUUACUUUUCUUUAGCAUAUGUUUGGUUUGAUGUUGAAAUUAUCAAUCUCGCAGAGGAAUUGGAGUUUUCCAAACCCAUACUUAGUCUGUGUAUCAAUAGUGAAACUUGAUUGGAUCUGCAUUGGGUAACUUCCAACCCAGAUCUUGAUUUGCUAGCCUUGACUGAUCUUUAACCCAAACUUGAAAUUAAAAAUAAUUCUCAAAAGGGAGGAUAAACAUGCGAUUUUGUCAAAAAUUUGGUGAUGAUGAGGUUUUCAAAUUUGGGAGGAGUAAGGUUCAUGUUUUUCAAUCUCACUUAUAUAUUUGAUUAGAUUUAUUACAAAGUGUCUGUUUAACAUGUAGUUCUCGAUGAUUUGAAUGUUUUGGAAUUAUGAUGGUUAUGAAUAGUUAUCUAGUCUUUGCUUUAUUGUUGUGUUGCUUUUAUANCAACGAGCAUCAAGCUCGGGGGCUUUGCAUAGUCAAAAGAAGGUGCUCAACGAGCAUAGAGCUCGGGGAUUUCACCCGGUUAAAAGAAUUCUCCCAAGGAUUAUAAAGCUCAGGGGGCUGAAGAAAGCCUUAUAAGACUUCCAGACAUGUCUAUUGAAGUAAACAUAUAUAAAUUUGUUAAGGUUUUUUUUUUUAUAUAUAUAUAACAAAUGUAAGUACAUUACCUAUUUAAGUAAACAUGUAUAAAUUUUUGGAGAAAACUUAGGUACAAUUCCUUAAGUGCUUUUCGUAUGGUUGUGAACUAAAUUCACCAUGAUUUCCUCAAAUCCAUAAUUUUCUCCUAAAUUUUUUAUUAUUUUUUCUAACAAAUAUUAGUACGUUAACUGUUGUAUACAUAUUUUAUCCCUUACUAAUAUUUGAACCGUACACUUUUAACUUGGUAAUUUUUUUUUAUUCAAAAUUUUUCUCAUAUCAUAUCUCAACUCUUGAAAUAGAUUUUUCGUUGCUUCUAAAUUUUCAUUAGGCAUGACCUAUAAAAUAAAAAUAAUCUGUUUAAUAGGUAAAUAUGUAAUACACAUCAUUAACAAUGUGAUUAGGUAGAAUAAAUUUAAGCAUUAAAAAAUAGAAUAUAUUUCAGUUUGACUAAGCUAUGUAUCCAUAUUUUAAAAUCCGAUUAGUCGUGUAUAUGAUUAUCUUUAAUUAAAAUACAUGCUUCAUUCGUUCUUAAAUAUAAGAUCUUUUUAGUCGAAUCAUGGGAAAUAAAAAAAUUGGUAGUAAUAUUAAAUUUGUUUAUAAUUAUUAUUCUUACGAUUUUAUCAUUUAAGAGAUUGUUUAUGUUUUCAACAUAAUAGUAUUUAUUGUUGAUUGAAGAAAAAUAUGUAAAAUAAAUAUGGGUAUGUUGGUAAAAAAAUAAUUAAUAUAGUUUUGUUUAUGGAAAAUAAUUAAUAUAGUUGAAAAUGCCAAAUGGUCUUAUAAAGAGAUAAAUAAAUUUAAGUUUUUUUUAGUCUCGUUUUGGUGCCUUCUGUUAGGUCUCCGUUAGUUUUAAUAAUAAACGUUAAGUGUGGACACGUGUCACCUCGUCAUUGGCUCUGAGAUUUUUUAUUUUAUUUUUUAAAAAAUUUAUUUAAGGGACCAAAAGAGCAUUUAAGCCUAUUUAUAAAGAUUAAAAAAAAAAACAUAUUUAAACCAAAGAUUUAUCGUUGUGUCGAACCAAAUGUAACUCGCUUUGUGAAACUCAUCAAACUCAUCUUGUCCUUCACUCCACCUUAGGUUUACGGAGCGGCUACAAAGAGAGACACACAUUCUUUGUUUGUUUAUUGUGCUCACACCCACAUAACAGAGCAUAUUUUCUUCAAAAAUGGAAGAUGUGAUAACAGAAGCAGCACCACCAUCAAGAUUACUAGAAGAAGACCUAAACAAUUUCACACCAUCUUCUCCACCACUCCCUUCACCUUUUCUCCUCUUCCCUCACACACAACAACAACAACAACCUCUCAAACCCACACUCCUCAUCAUCGCUAUCUCUUCUCCCUCUCUCUCCCUUUUCCACAAUCUCCUCACCCCACAAACCCUAACCUCCUCUCUCAUCCUCCCUGAACUCCCUCUCUCCUAUCCUAACAACACCAUCAACAUCCACUCUCUCUCUUCCACCAUCCUCCUCGCCGCCGUUCAAAACCCUAUCCCUGAUAAUCGCGCUUACGCCGUCGCUGAAAUCCUCCUCAGCAACCAGAUCUGCCCUGAUUCGGUUAUUAUACUUGAUUCUAUC
This 7714-nucleotide long non-coding RNA is filed under the name Medicago truncatula (barrel medic). Its description in RNAcentral is "long non-coding RNA (MTRU_LNC003206)". The record is from RNAcentral. Lineage: Eukaryota; Viridiplantae; Streptophyta; Magnoliopsida; Fabales; Fabaceae.